CCUACGGGCGACAGCAGUGAGGAAUAUUGGUCAAUGGACGAGAGUCUGAACCAGCCAAGUAGCGUGAAGGAUGACUGCCCUAUGGGUUGUAAACUUCUUUUAUAUGGGAAUAAAACGUUCCACGUGUGGGAUUUUGUAUGUACCAUAUGAAUAAGGAUCGGCUAACUCCGUGCCAGCAGCCGCGGUAAUACGGAGGAUCCGAGCGUUAUCCGGAUUUAUUGGGUUUAAAGGGAGCGUAGGUGGAGUGUUAAGUCAGUUGUGAAAGUUUGCGGCUCAACCGUAAAAUUGCAGUUGAAACUGGCAGUCUUGAGUACAGGAGAGGUGGGCGGAAUUCGUGGUGUAGCGGUGAAAUGCUUAGAUAUCACGAAGAACUCCGAUUGCGAAGGCAGUUCACUGGACUGCAACUGACACUGAGGCUCGAAAGUGUGGGUAUCAAACAGGAUUAGAUACCCUGGUAGUC
RNAcentral lists this ribosomal RNA (460 nucleotides) under uncultured bacterium. RNAcentral's name for it is "partial 16S ribosomal RNA". It matches the Rfam family "Bacterial small subunit ribosomal RNA", at positions 338 to 795 of the family's 1533-position model. The record is from RNAcentral.